RNAcentral lists this RNase P RNA (378 nucleotides) under Candidatus Parcubacteria bacterium. Its description in RNAcentral is "RNase P RNA component class A". It matches the Rfam family "Bacterial RNase P class A". From Rfam's summary of the family: Ribonuclease P (RNase P) is a ubiquitous endoribonuclease, found in archaea, bacteria and eukarya as well as chloroplasts and mitochondria. Its best characterised activity is the generation of mature 5'-ends of tRNAs by cleaving the 5'-leader elements of precursor-tRNAs. The record is from RNAcentral. Lineage: Bacteria; Candidatus Parcubacteria.
AAAAGUAGGGGCGCCACCGCUCCUCCAUUUUGGAGGGGAGGAAGGUCCGGACACCUUCUCCCCCCAGAUGUACAUCUGGAGGGAGGGAACGCUCCGGGUAACACCCGGCCACCGUGAGGUGAGGGGUGCGAACAGAGACGCCUUGCGGGGUAACUCGCAAGGGUCCCGCCAUUACAUAUAAUGGCGGGGUAGUCCAGCUAUAAGGCAAUUUUUGCCGAAGGCUGGGGUGAAACGGCUAAAUCCCGGCGGGGUGCAAGUGCAACAGAAAUUGGAGGUUUAUCUCCAAUUUCUGUAAGCACGCUUGAGCCAGGGAGAAAUCUCUGGCCCAGACAGAUGGUGGCGUAGAAACAGAAUCCGGCCUACUACCUACUUUUGGGC